Molecule: small nuclear RNA, 133 nt
Filed under: Myotis davidii
Lineage: Eukaryota; Metazoa; Chordata; Mammalia; Chiroptera; Vespertilionidae
Description: U11 spliceosomal RNA
Rfam family: U11 spliceosomal RNA
Source: Rfam by way of RNAcentral
AAAAAGAGUUUUGUUGUGAGUGCCACAUGUAGGGCAGAUUGAUUGCUCUACAUGCUGAAUCGACAUCAAGAGAUUUCAAAAGCAUAAUUUUUUGGUAUCUGGGCAGCUGGUGAUCAUUGGUCCUGGUGCCUGA